This 1381-nucleotide ribosomal RNA is filed under the name uncultured bacterium. RNAcentral's name for it is "16S ribosomal RNA". It matches the Rfam family "Bacterial small subunit ribosomal RNA". The record is from RNAcentral.
AGAGUUUGACCUGGCUCAGGAUGAACUCUGGCGGCGUGCGUAACACAUGCAAGUCGAACGAAGCAGAAGGAUGCUUGCAUCUUUUUGACUGAGUGGCGGACGGGUGAGUAACGUGUGGAGAACCUACCUUACACAGGGGGAUAACGGCUGGAAACGGCUGCUAAUACCGCAUAAGCCUGCUGCUUCGCAUGAAACAGUAUGAAAAAACACAUCGGUGCAAGAUGGCUCCGCAUCUGAUUAGCUAGUUGGUGAGGUAACGGCUCACCAAGACAACGAUCAGUAGCCGGCCUGAGAGAGCGAACGGCCACAUUGGGACUGAGACACGGCCCAGACUCCCACGGGAGGCAGCAGUGGGGAAUCUUGCACAAUGGGGGAAACCCUGAUGCAGCAACGCCGCGUGAGCGAAGAAGUAUUUCGGUACGUAAAGCUCUAUCAGCAGGGAAUAAAAAAGCAGGUACCUGACUAAGAAGCCCCGGCUAAUUACUUCCCAGCAGCCCCGGUAAUAGGUAGGGGGCAAGCGUUAUCCGGUUUUAUUGGGUGUAAAGGGAGGGUAGACGGCUGUUUAAUGUCAGAAGUGAAAGCCCAUCGCCUUACCCCGGGGAUUCCUUUUGAACUUCCGUACUUGAAGUCCGGAAAAGUAAAGGGAAUUUCUUAUGUGUACGGGUGAAUUGGUUAAUAUUUAGAAGAACCCCCGUGUGGGGAAGGGGGUUUCUGGACGGUUAAUUCACGUUAAGCUUGGAAAGUGUGGGAACCAACAAGGAUGGUAUCCCUGGGUUGUCCCGCCGGUAAAGGCCCAUAAAGGGGCGGGGGCUCAGAAGAGCUUCUGUGCCGUAGCUAACGCAAUAAGUAUUCCACCUGGGGAGUACGUUCGCAAGAAUGAAACUCAAAGGAAUUGACGGGGACCCGCACAAGCGGUGGAGCAUGUGGUUUAAUUCGAAGCAACGCGAAGAACCUUACCAGCUCUUGACAUCCCUCUGACAGCCCGGGAAAAGAGUGUUUCUUUCGGGACAGCAGAGACAGGUGGUGCAUGGUUGUCGUCAGCUCGUGUCGUGAGAUGUUGGGUUAAGUCCCGCAACGAGCGCAACCCCUACUUUCAGUAGCCAGCAACAGAGAUGGGCACUCUGUUAAGACUGCCGGGGAUAACCCGGAGGAAGGCGGGGACGACGUCAAAUCAUCAUGCCCCUUAUGAACUGGGCUACACACGUGCUACAAUGGCGCCAACAAAGGGAGGCGAACCCGUGAGGGGGAGCAAAUCUCAGAAAAUCCGUCCCAGUUCGGAUUGCAGCCUGCAACCCGACUACAUGAAGCUGGAAUCGCUAGUAAUCGCAAAUCAGCAUGUUGCGGUGAAUACGUUCCCGGGUCUUGCACUCACAGGCCGUCA